Molecule: ribosomal RNA, 403 nt
Filed under: uncultured bacterium
Lineage: Bacteria
Description: partial 16S ribosomal RNA
Rfam family: Bacterial small subunit ribosomal RNA
Source: RNAcentral
GACGAACGCUGGCGGCGUGCCUAAUACAUGCAAGUCGAACGCAGUGGGGACGGGUGAGUAACACGUGGGUAACCUCCCAUCAGAGGGGAUAACACUUGGAAAAAGGUGCUAAACCGAUACUGAUGGAUGGACCCGCGGGUCAUUAGCUAGUUGGUGAGGUAACGGCUCACCAAGGCACCGAUGAAUAGCCGACCUGAGAUGGUGAUUGGUCCCACUGGGACUGAGAUGCGGCCCAGACUCCUACGGGAGGCAGCAUUAGGGAGUCUUCUGCAAGGGACGAAAGUCGGACCGAGCAUCGCCGCGUGAGUGAAGAAGGUUUUCGUAUCGUAAAACUCUGUUGUUAGAGAAGCGGUAUCUAACCAGAAGGCCACGGCUAACUACGUGACAGCAGCCGCGGUAAUAC